UGGGCAACCUGCCCUCAGCUCUGGGAUAACCCCGGGAAACCGGGGCUAAUACCGGAUAUGACUGCCGACCGCAUGGUCUGGUGGUGGAAAGAUUUAUCGGCUGGGGAUGGGCCGCGGCCUAUCAGCUUGUUGGUGGGGUAGUGGCCUACCAAGGCGACGACGGGUAGCCGGCCUGAGAGGGUGACCGGCCACACUGGGACUGAGACACGGCCCAGACUCCGUACGGGAG
This 229-nucleotide ribosomal RNA is filed under the name uncultured bacterium. Its description in RNAcentral is "partial 16S ribosomal RNA". It matches the Rfam family "Bacterial small subunit ribosomal RNA", at positions 118 to 347 of the family's 1533-position model. The record is from RNAcentral.